This 72-nucleotide transfer RNA is filed under the name Camelus bactrianus (Bactrian camel). It matches the Rfam family "tRNA". Rfam says of the family: Transfer RNA (tRNA) molecules are approximately 80 nucleotides in length. Their secondary structure includes four short double-helical elements and three loops (D, anti-codon, and T loops). Further hydrogen bonds mediate the characteristic L-shaped molecular structure. tRNAs have two regions of fundamental functional importance: the anti-codon, which is responsible for specific mRNA codon recognition, and the 3' end, to which the tRNAs corresponding amino acid is attached (by aminoacyl-tRNA synthetases). tRNAs cope with the degeneracy of the genetic code in two manners: having more than one tRNA (with a specific anti-codon) for a particular amino acid; and 'wobble' base-pairing, i.e. permitting non-standard base-pairing at the 3rd anti-codon position. RNAcentral also lists the same sequence under 2 other names. The record is from Rfam by way of RNAcentral. Lineage: Eukaryota; Metazoa; Chordata; Mammalia; Artiodactyla; Camelidae.
GAGGGUGUAACUCAGUGGUAGAGUGUGUGUUUAGCAUGCACAAGGUCUGGGGUUCAAUCCCCAGUACCUCCA